CUUUUUUUUGGUGUCUCUUUAAGAUUUUUUUUUAAAUGUAUGUCAAUGUUUUGCCUCUAUGCAUGUAUAUGUGCCACAUGUCUUAUGCUUACUUGCAAGCCCAAGCCCUGUCUUUCCCUCCCAGUCUCCCUCCCCCUUUCUAGACCUCCCUUCCAAUUGGGAGUUUCUUCAGAAGUAACUAAAGUGCACACCACCUGUAAUGUCUACUCAAUGCCACCAGGGUGUCUCACGGUGCUGUCUGAUCUGUGUUCUUAUCUCUGGCCUUAGCUCAGAGCCCAGCUCAAGACAGUGAAAUGCUUGACUUCCUGGCUUUACAGUGUACAGACAGCUCAGCUCAGGAAAACCUUUGCCCUUUUUUUGGCCCCAUGGAAAACAACAGGUCAUUCAGAGGUUGGACUUGCCAGCCAGCCACUUAGUAACUAGGCAGCAGCCCUAUAAAAGCCAAAGAAGGGGCUGGCAAGAUGGCUCAGUGGUUAAGAACACUGACUGCUCUUCCAGAAGUUCUGAGUUCAAUUCCCAGCAACCACAUGGUGGCUCACAGCCAUCUACAAUGGGAUCUAUUGCACUCUUCUGGCAUGCAGGUGUACAUGGAGACAGAGCACUCAUAUACAUGAAUAUUUAAAAAAAAAAAAAAAGCCAAAGAACCUGUCAGUGUUUCAAAGAGCAGCUAAAGAGAAGCGGCUAUACAUUGGAGGAGAGAGCAAAUAUACAUAGAGACCUUGAAGGGAAUCUUCUAAGGCAGGGAAGAAGCAGAGACUUGUAUCUAUUGAAUCAAAAUACAAGCAGAUUCUAUGUCCAAGUAGCUGCCUCUAUGUGAGGAAAGGAUAGAAAACACUCAAGACAUCAUAUGGGCUUACGAUCUACAGAUUCCAACCAGUAGCAGGGGCUGACUCCUACACAAGAAGACUGGGAACUGCAAACAGGCUGGGGUCACCUCAGUGACAUCUGACGCUGUCCAACCAGAAGUCUGACUUGUGUGUGCGUGUGCUGCAGGAAUUGAAAAAUGUACUAAAAGACUAAAAUAUUUUGCCUUU
This 1034-nucleotide long non-coding RNA is filed under the name Mus caroli (Ryukyu mouse). Its description in RNAcentral is "predicted gene 15892 (MGP_CAROLIEiJ_G0004787.1)". Lineage: Eukaryota; Metazoa; Chordata; Mammalia; Rodentia; Muridae. The record is from RNAcentral.